This 547-nucleotide ribosomal RNA is filed under the name uncultured bacterium. RNAcentral describes it as "bacterial SSU rRNA". It matches the Rfam family "Bacterial small subunit ribosomal RNA", at positions 355 to 896 of the family's 1533-position model. The record is from RNAcentral.
UGGGGAAUAUUGCGCAAUGGGGGGAACCCUGACGCAGCCAUGCCGCGUGAAUGAAGAAGGCCUUCGGGUUGUAAAGUUCUUUCGGUAAUGAGGAAGGGAUGUUGUUAAAUAGAUAGCAUCAUUGACGUUAAUUACAGAAGAAGCACCGGCUAACUCCGUGCCAGCAGCCGCGGUAAUACGGAGGGUGCGAGCGUUAAUCGGAAUAACUGGGCGUAAAGGGCACGCAGGCGGACUUUUAAGUGAGAUGUGAAAUCCCCGAGCUUAACUUGGGAACUGCAUUUCAGACUGGGAGUCUAGAGUACUUUAGGGAGGGGUAGAAUUCCACGUGUAGCGGUGAAAUGCGUAGAGAUGUGGAGGAAUACCGAAGGCGAAGGCAGCCCCUUGGGAAUGUACUGACGCUCAUGUGCGAAAGCGUGGGGAGCAAACAGGAUUAGAUACCCUGGUGGUCCACGCUGUAAACGCUGUCGAUUUGGGGAUUGGGCUAUAUGCUUGGUGCCCGAAGCUAACGUGAUAAAUCGAUCGCCUGGGGAGUACGGCCGCAAGGUUA